Molecule: ribosomal RNA, 425 nt
Filed under: uncultured bacterium
Lineage: Bacteria
Description: partial 16S ribosomal RNA
Rfam family: Bacterial small subunit ribosomal RNA
Source: RNAcentral
GUGGGGAAUCUUGCGCAAUGGGCGAAAGCCUGACGCAGCCAUGCCGCGUGAAUGAUGAAGGUCUUAGGAUUGUAAAAUUCUUUCACCGGGGACGAUAAUGACGGUACCCGGAGAAGAAGCUCCGGCUAACUUCGUGCCAGCAGCCGCGGUAAUAUGAAGGGGGCUAGCGUUGCUCGGAAUUACUGGGCGUAAAGGGCGCGUAGGCGGACAGCUUAGUCAGAGGUGAAAGCCCAGGGCUCAACCUUGGAAUUGCCUUUGAUACUGGCUGUCUUGAGUUUGGGAGAGGUGAGUGGAACUCCGAGUGUAGAGGUGAAAUUCGUAGAUAUUCGGAAGAACACCAGUGGCGAAGGCGACUCACUGGCCCAAUACUGACGCUGAGGCGCGAAAGCGUGGGGAGCAAACAGGAUUAGAUACCCGAGUAGUCC